GAAAAAUGUGCAUGAAUCAUGUCUUCAUGUCUGUGCACAUGACCUGGUUUCAAGUUUUUUCUGUCAAAAUUAGAGCUUUUUUCCCCCAUGUUCAUUGGAUGGAAUGUUUAUAAUAUAUUAAAAGUACACAUUAUUUUUAUUUCAUUAUAAACUAGAGAACAUUCUGAUUCCAGUGAUAUCAAGUUUUAUACAAGUAUCUUUAUUAAUCAGUCCACCACUAAGGGUCACUUAUGCAUGGUCCCUAAAAAUGUGACGUCAUAGAAAAAAACUGUUGAUUGCAC
RNAcentral lists this long non-coding RNA (281 nucleotides) under Mytilus galloprovincialis (Mediterranean mussel). The record is from RNAcentral. Lineage: Eukaryota; Metazoa; Mollusca; Bivalvia; Mytilida; Mytilidae.